CUUGGGAAAUGAUGCGAACAUUCAAAUCUUGUUGUCGUAGGCUUAGUGAUUUGCCUGUGCUGAAUACUUUUGCACGUCAGUCUGAUUCUGAG
Malania oleifera is the source of this 92-nucleotide small nucleolar RNA. RefSeq annotates it as small nucleolar RNA Z122. The record is from RefSeq and is a predicted model, not a curated record. NCBI's taxonomy places the organism in Eukaryota, Viridiplantae, Streptophyta, Magnoliopsida, Santalales, Ximeniaceae. The transcript has a single exon.